UCUCACCUCAUUGUUCGUCAAGUCAAUGACAUCUACGAAGUUCGCAAGCCUGAACUGGUGCCGUACUACACUGCGGCCCGGAACCUCAUGGAAAAAUUUCAACAUGUUGAAGUGCUCCAUGUCCCACGAAGCAGAAAUGCGCCUGUUGAUGCCUUGGCAAAACUAGCGGCAGCAUUGGUGCUCCCAGAUAAUAAAACCAUGCAGGUAAAUAUUGAAGAAAGGUGGCUCCUCCCAGCUGUUCUGGAGCUUAUCCCGGCGGAGUACAAAGUCAACUCCAUCAUGACGAACACCGUGGAGGAAGACGAGUGGCUGCAACCCUUCCUCGACUACUUCAAGCAUGGCAGUCUCCCCGACGACCCCGUCGCGAGACGCCAACUACAACGACGACUCCCCUUUUAUCUUUAUGAAGCAGGUGUCUUAUACAGG
Molecule: ribosomal RNA, 426 nt
Filed under: Triticum aestivum (bread wheat)
Lineage: Eukaryota; Viridiplantae; Streptophyta; Magnoliopsida; Poales; Poaceae
Description: partial small subunit ribosomal RNA
Source: RNAcentral